This 390-nucleotide ribosomal RNA is filed under the name Triticum aestivum (bread wheat). Its description in RNAcentral is "partial small subunit ribosomal RNA". The record is from RNAcentral. Lineage: Eukaryota; Viridiplantae; Streptophyta; Magnoliopsida; Poales; Poaceae.
AUGGAUUGCAUGAUCAUUCUUGCAUCGAGGCCACAUUUAAGGACACAUCUUCGCAUCCUCCGCAUUGGCGGCGAUCUUCAUCUUCUUUUUCUCGAGUUCGGCCUUCCUCUCUUCGAGUUUGAGCUUCUUGUAAGCCGCCUCCAUCAACAAUUUGAACCUCCCCGCCUUUUUCUCCUCCUUGAGGUCCGAGCACUCAUAUAUGACUCCUCCUUCUUCGACAAGAUGUCCUCGAACCUCUCCGUCAGCUUGCCCUCCAUGCCUUCUUGCUUCGCCCUCUCCUCCUCUCACUUCUUCCCCCGUAAAAAUCUCCCAACCUUCUUCGGCGGUUCUUGGGUUGGGUCGGUAGGGUCACCAGUUUCUUCCUCGGUGGCUUGGGCGGCGGGGCUAUGA